CUAAUGAGUUCUUGUAUUAACUGAAUAGCAAUUUUUAAAAUACCAGGGGUAUCCUGGACUAAGCCAUCUUCCCCUGUAUGGCUAGAAUUUUUUUUUCUUCAUCCUCCUCUUAUUGGCUACUGCCUAGAAAUAUUUGGUAUUCUUAUCUCCUUCCACACUAUCUUUUUCUCUUGAUCUCUAUCUAAUUUUUAAUCUCUUCCAACUACCAGAGUGUAUUAAGCUCUGUCGUCACCUCUUUCAUCCUAUGUUUUUCCUUAUCUUGUAAAUGUUUGGUUUCAGACAUAAUGUCCAGACAGUUAUACUCUGUCACCGUACUUAGCUUAUCAGAGUUGAAUCUGACCAAAUUGAAAUCUCCUCCUACUAAUGUAGGCGAGGUAAAAGAAAAAACAGAAUGCAACUCCUCUAGGAAUUCCUGCUUAUAUGAUCAUAUGCUAACCCAUAAACAACAAUAAAAGUUCAAAGGAAACCAUCUACUUUAUUUGUAGAGAAAAUUACUUAAAACCACCACAUUUGGGACACGUGCUUAGGAAAACCACAUUUAAAAAAAAACAAAAUUACCACCACUUUAUCGGUCCGUUGUACUCCCGCGCACUGAUUUCUCUAUUGAUUGCGUUUUGACACGAAAACUGACAAGCGGGGGCCCACCUGUCAGGUACACGUCAACUCCAUGCUGGCCUAGGCCGUCCACCGUGUCCGGACCAGACCCUGACCCAUCGAACCCGACCGCGAGCCCAAAAUGGUGAUAAAAAAACUUCAAAGCUGAUAACCCGAUAAUCACAAUAAAUGUUAUGCUUCUAUUGUAUCUAUAUGAAUUGUGUCAUGUUGAUUGUUUCCCUUAAGUCUAACCAAAGAAGUAAACUAUUCUUGGCAUGGUGUUCUCUCAAGCCUAGCCUCAUCAACUGUAUGAUCUAGCGGUCAUAACACAUUUAACUCUGCUUUAACAUAAAGAACUGCUUCUUAUAUCAGGCACCAAGCAUUGAUUAUGUAACCAAGAACAUUACUUUGGAAGGUCAAAACAUGGGAGUUUCAGAAAAGUCAGGUUUGGACAAUCAUACCCAAGACAGCUUGUUUCUUGUAAUUUGUUAUUGUUUGUCUCCCAAAAUCCUAAUCUAUGUUCUCCGCAAAAAAAUAAUCCUGACCCAUGUAUUUCUAAUUUCAUUGAAGGAGGCAUCACCGAGAACAACAUUGAUCAGAUGUAUGAUUCACUACAAUCAAUUCAGAAAACGCG
This 1228-nucleotide long non-coding RNA is filed under the name Brachypodium distachyon (stiff brome). Its description in RNAcentral is "long non-coding RNA (BDIS_LNC002353)". The record is from RNAcentral. Lineage: Eukaryota; Viridiplantae; Streptophyta; Magnoliopsida; Poales; Poaceae.